GAUGAACGCUAGCUACAGGCUUAACACAUGCAAGUCGAGGGGCAGCAUGGUCUUAGCUUGCUAAGGCCGAUGGCGACCGGCGCACGGGUGAGUAACACGUAUCCAACCUGCCGUCUACUCUUGGACAGCCUUCUGAAAGGAAGAUUAAUACAAGAUGGCAUCAUGAGUCCGCAUGUUCACAUGAUUAAAGGUAUUCCGGUAGACGAUGGGGAUGCGUUCCAUUAGAUAGUAGGCGGGGUAACGGCCCACCUAGUCUUCGAUGGAUAGGGGUUCUGAGAGGAAGGUCCCCCACAUUGGAACUGAGACACGGUCCAAACUCCUACGGGAGGCAGCAGUGAGGAAGAUUGGUCAAUGGGCUAGAGCCUGAACCAGCCAAGUAGCGUGAAGGAUGACUGCCCUAUGGGUUGUAAACUUCUUUUAUAAAGGAGUAAAGUCGGGUAUGGAUACCCGUUUGCAUGUACUUGAUGAAUAAGGACCGGCUAACUCCGUG
Molecule: ribosomal RNA, 490 nt
Filed under: uncultured bacterium
Lineage: Bacteria
Description: partial 16S ribosomal RNA
Rfam family: Bacterial small subunit ribosomal RNA
Source: RNAcentral